AGUGAACGCUGGCGGUAGGCCUAACACAUGCAAGUCGAACGGCAGCACAGUAAGAGCUUGCUCUUACGGGUGGCGAGUGGCGGACGGGUGAGGAAUACAUCGGAAUCUACUUUUUCGUGGGGGAUAACGUAGGGAAACUUACGCUAAUACCGCAUACGACCUACGGGUGAAAGCAGGGGAUCUUCGGACCUUGCGCGAUUGAAUGAGCCGAUGUCGGAUUGGCUAGUUGGCGGGGUAAAGGCCCACCAAGGCGACGAUCCGUAGCUGGUCUGAGAGGAUGGUCAGCGACACUGGAGGUGAGACACGGUCCAGACUCCUACGGGAGGCAGCAGUGGGGAAUAUUGGACAAUGGGCGCAAGCCUGAUCCAGCCAUACCGCGUGGGUGAAGAAGGCCUUCGGGUUGUAAAGCCCUUUUGUUGGGAAAGAAAAGCAGCAGGUUAAUACCCCGCUGUUCUGACGGUACCCAAAGAAUAAGCACCGGCUAACUUCGUG
This 492-nucleotide ribosomal RNA is filed under the name uncultured bacterium. RNAcentral's name for it is "partial 16S ribosomal RNA". It matches the Rfam family "Bacterial small subunit ribosomal RNA", at positions 29 to 507 of the family's 1533-position model. The record is from RNAcentral.